UUCCACAAAAAAACGUAGUGUUGGAACAACGAACAGAUGUCAUGCAGCAUCCAUAUACGCAUAUGGCUGGCAGUUACUUAGAAGAGGUAGAACCUACAAGAACAAGGUGUUUUUUCAUAUUGGAGAUUCAAAAAUUUGGUCUGAUGCACAGGACUACUGUGGCAGCUUUGGUAUGAGACUCGCAACUGUUAGUAACUUUAACG
Long non-coding RNA from Mytilus californianus (California mussel), 203 nucleotides. RefSeq lists it as uncharacterized. Lineage: Eukaryota; Metazoa; Mollusca; Bivalvia; Mytilida; Mytilidae. The transcript is spliced from 3 exons. The record is from RefSeq and is a predicted model, not a curated record.